This 406-nucleotide ribosomal RNA is filed under the name uncultured bacterium. RNAcentral describes it as "partial 16S ribosomal RNA". It matches the Rfam family "Bacterial small subunit ribosomal RNA", at positions 30 to 526 of the family's 1533-position model. The record is from RNAcentral.
AUUGAACGCUGGCGGCAGGCCUAACACAUGCAAGUCGAACGAGUGGCGGACGGGUGAGUAAUAUCUGGGAAAUUGCCUGAUGGAGGGGGAUAACUACUGGAAAGGGUAGCUAAUACCGCAUACUAUCGGAUCUGCCCAGAUGGGAUUAGCUAGUAGGUGGGGUAAUGGCUCACCUAGGCGAAGAUCCGUAGCUGGUCUGAGAGGAAGACCAGCCACACUGGAACUGAGACACGGACCAGACUCCUACGGGAGGCAGCAGUGGGGAAUAUUGAACAAUGGGCGCAAGCCUGAUGCAGCCAUGCCGCGUGUAUGAAGAAGGCCUUCGGGUUGUAAAGUACUUUCAGCGGGGAGGCGUUACCCGCAGAAGAAGCACCGGCUAACUCCGUGCCAGCAGCCGCGGUAAUUC